AACGAACGCUGGCGGCAGGCUUAACACAUGCAAGUCGAACGGGUGUAGCAAUACGUCAGUGGCAGACGGGUGAGUAACACGUGGGAACCUUCCUAGGGGUACGGAACAACUCAGGGAAACUUGAGCUAAUACCGUAUACGUCCGUGAGGAGAAAGAUUUAUCGCCCUUAGACGGGCCCGCGUCGGAUUAGCUAGUUGGUGGGGUAACGGCCUACCAAGGCGACGAUCCGUAGCUGAUCUUAGAGGAUGAUCAGCCACACUGGGACUGAGACACGGCCCAGACUCCUACGGGAGGCAGCAGUGGGGAAUCUUGGACAAUGGGCGCAAGCCUGAUCCAGCCAUGCCGCGUGAGUGAAGAAGGUCUUCGGAUUGUAAAGCUCUUUUGCCAGGGACGAUAAUGACGGUACCUGGAGAAUAAGCCCCGGCAAACUUCGUGCCAGCCGCCGCAGUAA
RNAcentral lists this ribosomal RNA (451 nucleotides) under uncultured bacterium. RNAcentral describes it as "partial 16S ribosomal RNA". It matches the Rfam family "Bacterial small subunit ribosomal RNA", at positions 29 to 523 of the family's 1533-position model. The record is from RNAcentral.